GUCGUCCUUCGUCGAAGCAUUGUCAGCCAUCGUGCUCUUUGUUGGAGGUCUGCCGCCGCACCGCAGCAUUUAUUAUCAAAAUGUACUUGAACCUGCAGGUAAGGAAAGAAGGCUUUGGUCGUCACACUUCUCUUCACCGGGUUGACUUCAUCCUGCGGCGGGGUCACGUCCAGUCAUUGUUAAUCUUCUAAACACCAUGGAGUCAAACACUUGGUUCGGCCUUGUAUUGAUCUUCACCACUAUCUACAGUCUACAUGCAAGCAGGACGUUGGAGCAGACAAAUAUGCAGCCUGAAACAUCACCGCCCCUCGAGCCACAUCUCCAGAGUACGCCAUCUCGUGCCUUAGCCGUCGAGCAAUCACCCGGCGAGACGCGCUCAAUUUGACCCAACAAAGGCGUCUUAUUACCCUCCCGUAAUUGGAAACACCUCGCAAGGACGUGGCGCCACAUCAUGAUUCCAUUUACAAUAUUUACAACUCAAUAAACAUUUCGUUUCAUCCGGCGUCCUUCAUGCCUGCGAGUGGCAGAUAAGACAGAGGUUAAAGAGAGCACUAAACAGAAAUUGGCACAAAGCAGAUCAUAUAUGGACGCCAGCGCUGGAGCUUUCCUUUGAGAAGGAUGCAGCUUUA
Doryrhamphus excisus (bluestripe pipefish) is the source of this 629-nucleotide long non-coding RNA. RefSeq lists it as uncharacterized. The record is from RefSeq and is a predicted model, not a curated record. Lineage: Eukaryota; Metazoa; Chordata; Actinopteri; Syngnathiformes; Syngnathidae.